CAUGUCUUUUUGAUUAUAAUUUAAAGUCCAAUCUGCCCACUGAAAAAUUAAAUGGCCGCAGUAAUUUGACUGUGCUAAGGUAGCAUAAUAAUUAGUUUUUUAAUUGAAAGCUGGUAUGAAUGAUUAAAUGAAAUAAAAACUGUCUCAUUAUUAAUAAAAUAGAAUUUUAUUUUUAAGUAAAAAAGCUUAAAUACAUUUAAAAGACGAGAAGACCCUAUAGAGUUUGAUAUAAAUAUUAAUUUUUUAAAAUUAAUAUAAAUUUAUAAUUUAAUAUUUUAUAUUUUAUUGGGGUGAUAGAUAAAUUUAAUAAACUUUAUUUUUUAUUAAACAUAAAUUAAUGAUUUUUUGAUCCUUAAUGAAAGAUUAUCAGAUUAAAUUACCUUAGGGAUAACAGCGUAAUUUUUUUUGAGAGUUCAAAUCGAAAAAAAAGAUUGCGACCUCGAUGUUGGAUUAAAGUUAAGUUUUGGUGUAGAAGCUAAAAAUUUAAGUCUGUUCGACUUUUAAAACUUUACAUGAUCUGAGU
This 523-nucleotide ribosomal RNA is filed under the name Arthrobrachus nigromaculatus. Its description in RNAcentral is "partial 16S ribosomal RNA". The stretch from base 387 to 523 matches the Rfam family "Bacterial large subunit ribosomal RNA", at positions 2473 to 2610 of the family's 2925-position model. Lineage: Eukaryota; Metazoa; Arthropoda; Insecta; Coleoptera; Melyridae. The record is from RNAcentral.